CAGUAGCCGCGGUAAUACGGAGGGUGCAAGCGUUAAUCGGAAUUACUGGGCGUAAAGCGCACGCAGGCGGUCUGACAAGACAGAUGUGAAAUCCCCGGGCUUAACCUGGGAACUGCAUUUGAAACUGUCAGGCUGGAGUCUUGUAGAGGGGGGUAGAAUUCCAGGUGUAGCGGUGAAAUGCGUAGAGAUCUGGAGGAAUACCGGUGGCGAAGGCGGCCCCCUGGACAAAGACUGACGCUCAGGUGCGAAAGCGUGGGGAGCAAACAGGAUUAGAUACCCCAGUAGUCCCUGUCUCUUAUAC
This 301-nucleotide ribosomal RNA is filed under the name uncultured bacterium. Its description in RNAcentral is "partial 16S ribosomal RNA". It matches the Rfam family "Bacterial small subunit ribosomal RNA", at positions 509 to 807 of the family's 1533-position model. The record is from RNAcentral.